GCCUUCCUAGCUCAGCUGGUAGUAGCUACCGCUUCGUAAGCGGUCGGUCGUCGGUUCGAAUCCGACGGAAGGCU
Molecule: transfer RNA, 74 nt
Filed under: Deltaproteobacteria bacterium
Lineage: Bacteria; Pseudomonadati; Myxococcota; Myxococcia
Description: tRNA-Thr
Rfam family: tRNA
About the family: Transfer RNA (tRNA) molecules are approximately 80 nucleotides in length. Their secondary structure includes four short double-helical elements and three loops (D, anti-codon, and T loops).
Source: RNAcentral